RNAcentral lists this ribosomal RNA (411 nucleotides) under uncultured bacterium. RNAcentral describes it as "bacterial SSU rRNA". It matches the Rfam family "Bacterial small subunit ribosomal RNA", at positions 505 to 916 of the family's 1533-position model. The record is from RNAcentral.
GUGUCAGCCGCCGCGGUAAUACGUAGGGUGCGAGCGUUAAUCGGAAUUACUGGGCGUAAAGCGUGCGCAGGCGGUUUUUUAAGACGGACGUGAAAUCCCCGGGCUCAACCUGGGAACUGCAUUCGUGACUGGAAGGCUAGAGUGUGUCAGAGGGGGGUGGAAUUCCACGUGUAGCAGUGAAAUGCGUAGAGAUGUGGAGGAACACCGAUGGCGAAGGCAGCCCCCUGGGAUAACACUGACGCUCAUGCACGAAAGCGUGGGGAGCGAACAGGAUUAGAUACCCUGGUAGUCCACGCCCUAAACGAUGUCUAUUAGUUGUUGGGUUUUAAUUAACUUAGUAACGAAGCUAACGCGCGAAAUAGACCGCCUGGGGAGUACGGCCGCAAGGUUAAAACUCAAAGAAAUUGGCGG